UACGAAGGGGGCUAGCGUUGUUCGGAAUUACUGGGCGUAAAGGGCGCGUAGGCGGCACUGUUAGUCAGGCGUGAAAUUCCUGGGCUCAACCUGGGGACUGCGCUUGAUACGGCAGAGCUUGAGGAUGGAAGAGGGUCGCGGAAUUCCCAGUGUAGAGGUGAAAUUCGUAGAUAUUGGGAAGAACACCGGUGGCGAAGGCGGCGAGCUGGUCCAUUACUGACGCUGAGGCGCGACAGCGUGGGGAGCAAACAGG
Molecule: ribosomal RNA, 253 nt
Filed under: uncultured bacterium
Lineage: Bacteria
Description: partial 16S ribosomal RNA
Rfam family: Bacterial small subunit ribosomal RNA
Source: RNAcentral